GUGUGUCCAGGCGCUUCCCACCACCGGGGCAGGUGGGGUCUGACGGCGAGUUGGGAGCCACCAGAGUCCAAGCGGCAAGACGUCCCCCUCAUCCUUCAGAUUAACUGGCCCCCUGAUGUGUACAGAUUCCUGCUGUACCUCUGAAAAGGAAUGAAGCUGAUAUGCUCCUUUAUUCUGAGAGACGUUUGGCUGCAGCAACAUAAAUAAUUCUCUUCAAGACUCAGAAGAAGGUACUGGCAACAUGAGCAACAUUUGUCCUUUGUUUUUACCUUUCAUUUGUACUUUUCCUUGGCACUGCACUGUGUCCAUGUGUAACUUAAUAAUAAAUGAUUUCAUAAUGAUGGGAUUGAAUUGCAAUGAUGACACCUCAUUCAUUUUUCAACAUCCUCGCCCAUCUGGUCAUUCCAGCAAGCAUCACAUUUUCUUCCAAACCUUGUAUUUCAACCUAUGGGCUCCUUGUUCCUUGUUUGAUUAGC
This is a long non-coding RNA of Pan troglodytes (chimpanzee), 476 nucleotides long. RefSeq lists it as uncharacterized. The record is from RefSeq and is a predicted model, not a curated record. The transcript has 3 exons. NCBI's taxonomy places the organism in Eukaryota, Metazoa, Chordata, Mammalia, Primates, Hominidae.